Molecule: transfer RNA, 72 nt
Filed under: Phytophthora infestans (potato late blight agent)
Lineage: Eukaryota; Oomycota; Peronosporomycetes; Peronosporales; Peronosporaceae
Also listed under: 1 other name
Description: tRNA-Gln
Rfam family: tRNA
About the family: Transfer RNA (tRNA) molecules are approximately 80 nucleotides in length. Their secondary structure includes four short double-helical elements and three loops (D, anti-codon, and T loops).
Source: RNAcentral
GCUCUUAUGGUGUAAUGGUUAGCACUCUGGACUUUGAAUCCAGCGAUCCGGGCUCAAAUCCCGGUAGGAGCU